GAGGAAUAUUGGUCAAUGGACGAAAGUCUGAACCAGCCAUGCCGCGUGAAGGAUGACGGCCCUACGGGUUGUAAACUUCUUUUGUAUAGGAAGAAACCCCUCUACGUGUAGAGGGCUGACGGUACUAUACGAAUAAGCACCGGCUAACUCCGUGCCAGCAGCCGCGGUAAUACGGAGGGUGCAAGCGUUAUCCGGAAUUAUUGGGUUUAAAGGGUGCGUAGGCGGAAAUUUAAGUCAGUGGUGAAAGCCUGCAGCUCAACUGUAGAAUUGCCAUUGAUACUGAAUUUCUUGAAUCUAAUUGAAGUGGGCGGAAUAUGACAUGUAGCGGUGAAAUGCUUAGAUAUGUCAUAGAACACCGAUAGCGAAGGCAGCUCACUAAGUUAGUAUUGACGCUCAUGCACGAAAGCGUGGGGAGCGAACAGG
Molecule: ribosomal RNA, 423 nt
Filed under: uncultured bacterium
Lineage: Bacteria
Description: bacterial SSU rRNA
Rfam family: Bacterial small subunit ribosomal RNA
Source: RNAcentral